GUGACCUGCAAACCUUUUAUUUGCAAAAUACAUAAAGUAGGCGGCAGGAAGUAGCGGUUUAUACCUGUAAUCCCAGCACUUACGGAGGCCAAGGCGGGAGGAUCCCUUGAGCUCAGGAGUUGAAGACCAGCCUGGGCAACACAGUGAGACCCUAUCUACAAAAAAAUACAAAAAUUAGCUGGGUGUGGUGGCCAGCUAUUGGAGAGAGGCUGAGGUGGAAGGAUUGCUUGAGCCUGGGAGGUGGAAGCUGCAGUGAGCUGAGAUAGCCACUGCACUCCAGCCUGGGCGGCAGAGCAAGACUCUGUCUCAAAAAAAGUUGAGGCCGGGCACGGUGGCUCACAUAUGUAACCCCAGCACUUUGGGACGCCAAAGUGGGCGGAUCACCUGAGGUCAGGAGUUUGAGACUCACCUGGCUAACAUGGUGGAAACCCGUCUCUACUAAAAAUACAAAAAUUAGCCAGGGGUGGUGGCCUGCGCCUGUAAUCCCAGUUACUCGGGAGGCUGAGGCAGGAGAUGCGCUUGAACCCGGGAGGCGGAGGUUGUAGUGAGCUGAGAUGGCGCCACUGCACUCCAGCCUGGGCAACAGAGGGAGACUUCGUCUCGGGGGAGGGGGGGAAGUUUGGAGUCACGCCGCCACCACCCUUUUAAGGACGCCUGGAGCUCCCAGAGCCCCCAGGAGCUGAAAGAAGCAGGAAGGAUCCUCCCUACAGCCUCUGGAGGGAUCGCGGCCCCCAUUACCUUUUCAAAAGGUCACCUUUCCCCGCGGUGUGACCCUCGAAAGCUAGAUGUGCCCAGGAAACAGCAGCCCAGGCCCUGCACCAUCCUCCCGCUCCCUCUGGCCGCCGUGCCUCAGCCAGCGCUGCCCCUGUCCCGCCUGUGCCCUCCCCAGGGCCCCUCGCCGCCGCCCCCUGCCGCCUCCCGAUCUGGUCAAACUCCCGGGCACGAGCCCCGCGUGCAGGCGCCGGGCCUGGGCUCCUGUGGCCGUCCCGCCAGCGCCCGUCUUCCGUCCCUGCAUUUAGAGAAGGACGAUGGCAAAGGCACCCGCCCGCUGACCCCUUACAGGUGAGGAAACUGAGGUAAGACGGUCGGGGCUGGCUGCAGGGCGUGUCGGGCCCUCGGGGCAGUCGCCCAGACCACCCGGACGGCCCCGCUCGCAGCCUUCGCCCGCGCCCGCCAACUUUUCAACCGACCGUCGCGUGCCGUUUACUUCCGCCUUGGGAGGUCAUUUCCGGGUCCCGGCAGGAAGGGCCGGGCGCGCGCGACGUCAGCGCGCGACGCAGCCAUCUUGGCUCCUGGCAGCGGCGGCCCAGGCCUCGGUCGUGGGCUGGGCGGCCAUAUUGGAGUCGGGCAGGGGUCUCAUAUCCGGUCACUCUCCACUGGCGAUGAUCGAUUGCACUUGACGGUCGCGACGCUGAUCGAGAGUCGCUCGCAUUGCUCGAAGUUUUCUGCAACUCCAGGACCGUAAAAUGUCUCGAAGAUGGCGAAAGGCGUAGCCCCCUGCAGAAUCAGAUGAUCCAGAAGGAUGCCCACUGUCUUUUUGGUCCAUUUCAGUUGUAAACCAAGAAAUACCCGGGACAGGCCUCGGUGGGCUUCGGAGCGUGUCUCGGCAAGGUCGAGGUCUUUCUCCAGCGAUGGUUUUGAGCCUCUGUAUUAAAAGGGGGAAAGUGGGCUGUGGGGUAUCCUGUUUCUGAGCCCAUGGUGGGAAGAGAAAAGGAGUGGGCGGGGAUCGCUGAUGAUGCGUCCCCAAGAUGAGGGGAACGGAGAGUGCGAUCUGAUCCGGCGUCUGUAGUUACCUGUCCAGGAACACAGGGAGAGGCAGUCCCUUGCCCGGCUCGGUCUUCAGCUUCGUUUUGUCCUUUUGGCAGCCUGAAUUGGGGUCCUGAGCUUCUCCUUUCCUUUCACACCGUCCUCCACAGUUUCCCAAAUGGGUUGUGGAAUGCUUAUUCCCCGGCACACCUGUGAGAUCCCAGGCAGAAGCCAGUGUACAGAAACGCGUUGCAUCAGUAGGGAUUCUCGAGAG
Molecule: long non-coding RNA, 2020 nt
Filed under: Macaca fascicularis (crab-eating macaque)
Lineage: Eukaryota; Metazoa; Chordata; Mammalia; Primates; Cercopithecidae
Description: lncRNA (ENSMFAG00000056777.1)
Source: RNAcentral